UCAAGUGACAGUGAAGUGGUUUAAGUGGAAUUAAAAUACCAGUAAAUGUGUCAGUAAAAAUUUCAGUUGAGGGGCCAGCAUUUUGGUGCGAUAGGUUAGGCUGCCACCUGCAAAGCCUGCAUUCCAUUUGAAGCCCAGUUCGAGUCAUGGCUGCUCUUCUUCCAGUCCAGCUCCCUGCUAAUGUGCCUUAGAAAACAGCAAAAGACAGCCCAAGUCCUUGGGUCCUGCCUGCUCCCCAUGUGGGAAACUUGGAUGGAGUUCCAGGCUCUUAGCUUUGGUCUGGCCCAACCAUUGAGGGGAGUGAACCAUUUCCUGAGUGAAUCAGCAGAUGGAAGAUGUCUUUUUCCUUAUCUUUCCCUCUCUCUAUGUCACUCUACCUUUCAAAAAAACCUAAGGUAAAUCCUUAAAAAUUGUUUUCAGUUAAUUAAACCUCACUCAUGGUACAUUUUAUUUGAUAUUGUCAAUAGUAAGUGUUAUUACUAAACUUAUUUUCUCUCUCCCACAUCUGUACUUUAAAUUCUCUCAAUUUUCUGCUUUCAAAAAUCAUGCAUGGAUUCUAUAGAUUAGGAAUCUGAACUUGAAAAGAGAAUUGGCUUAGAAGACCAUGGAAGCGGCAAAUUGCAAUGAUUUUCAACUCAAGUCUUCAGGUGUCAAACCUUCUGCAAUUUUCCCCAAGUCAUUCUUCUUUUCUGAAUCUGUAAAUGUUUUAAGCAAAAAUAUGCCCAUUACAAACUGAUUUUAACCAGAGUUCUGGUUAAUCAGUGCAAAACUUUAAAAACAUGUGCGGCUACUAAGAUUUAUUUUCUACUCUGACAGUUAUUGCCAUAUGAAACAAAUGAUGUGCUUCACUCGUGUUUCUGUGUGCUGUGUGUAUGCAAGGGUAGGGAUGCUGGUAAAUAACAUUUAGGAACAAAUCAUGUCCCUUUUUGAGAGUGCCAGCUUACAUGUUAAGUACAAGAAAAAUAUACAAUCCCAGUUCAUUUCCCCCCUCAGUGUAAUGAAAUGCUAUCUUCUAUCUAGUAUAUAAUUCUAAAAACUUAUUAAAUAUUUCAAAAGUUAUGAGCCAUGAUAUAUGACAUAUGAAAAAAUCAAAGUAUAGGUUUGGAUGGAGUGCCUUGAUCCAAUACACAAUCAGUACCCUUGGAUUAUCUGCAAGGUGAAAUCUUCAGAUUCACAUAAACUUACUUACAUUCACAUAAACUUACUCAUAUGCCAUUUGGGAGAAAUUAGAAGUAGGUGUAGAAAUUUUUUUUUUUUGUAUCUAAUCUAAAAUUUGGCUUUUAAAAAAUAUAUCAGAUUUCAGUUAAAGCUACUGUCCUAGAAAAUUUAUUUAACAUAAUAUUCAGUUUAGUCUCUGAAAUGCAUACAUAAUAACAGAAUUAAAAUUCCUGUUUAAAAUUUUUAUUUAUUUGUUUAUUUGAAAGGUAAAGAGAAAGAGACUUACCAUUUGUUGAUACACUUACAAAUGCCUACAGUAGCCAUGGCUGGAUCAAACCAAAGCCUCAAGUUAGGAAUUUAAACUCCAUCUCCCAUGUAGGAGACAGGGCCCCAAGCACAUGGGGCUGCCUCCCAGCAUAGGAGUCAGAAGAAGCUGAAAUUGGAGGCAGCGCCAGGUCUUGAACUCAAGCCCUCCAAUAUGAAAUGUGGGUGUCCCAAGCAGCUUCUUAACUGCUUAACAAAAUACCCACUUCAUGGUAUUAUCAUUGCUAUUUCCCAUAAAUUGAUUUAGCAAAGAAAAAGGUUAUGUAUCCCAAAGUAUUAACCCUUAACGCAUGAUAGCUUGAUAGUACCCCAAGGACUACUAUUUAUAAUUAUUUAUGGUUAAUUUUAGGUCACUUGUAUCCAAAACUUGAUUGUAAGGUACUUCUAGGUAGGUAUAUAUCAUAUUUAUCUGUGUAUUUCAUAGUACAUUGUACAGCAAACUACUCGUGAUUGUCACAUGUCACAUACAUCACAUAUCACACUUUCACCAUAGGGUAUAUGCUAUGUGUACACAUUUCUAAAAGGGACUAUAGUAUCAAAUGGUAUUUAAAAGAUACUUUAUUUUUCAGUUUCCUAUUUCAGCAAGAUAGUCAAUUCCCCAUUCCCACUUUUCCACACACAUAAGCCAAUAUCCUAUACUCACUGCCUUUCAUAGCCUCUUUUGUUCAAGAAAUGCACUAGGAUCGGCGCCUCUGACCUCACCUUCUUCUUUCUCUUCUAGAAAGGCAUUUAUGCACCACAUGAAAACCUCUUCUGCUGUUAUUCAUAAUCAUUGCUACUGUAUCCAUUCUGCCUUCACCAGUCUUGUUACCAACCUUCUUUGCUUGUGUACUCUACACAGGCUAGGCCAGCAAUUCUUCACAUUUUACACUCAGAAAUUUGUUGAUGAUCAUUUCAUUCCUCUCAUAGGAUCUCACAUUCAGUAUGUUUUUUUUUUUUGAUAGGCAGAGUUAGAGAGAGAGAGAGAGAGAAUGGUCUUCUUUCCAUUGGUUCACCCCCUAGAUGGCUGCUAUGGCCGGCACACUGCACCUAUCUAAAGCCAGGAGCAAGGUACUUCCUCCUAGUCUCCCAUGUAGGUCCAGGGCCCAAGGACUUGGGCCAUCCUCCACUGCCUUCCCGGGCCACAGCAGAGAGCUGGACUGGAAGAGGAGCAACCAGGACAGAAUCCAGCACCCCAACCGGGACUAGAACCCGGGGUGCUGGCACCGCAGGCAGAGGAUUAGCCUAGUGAGCCACAGCGCUGGCCUCAGUAUGUUUUCUAAGUAAAUGUCACUUAAUGUUUUCUUCUCUCUCUCUCUCCUCCCUCCUGCACACAGCCUCUCCCUAUAUAAAGUAAUAGUAAGAAUGAUGAAGAAGACAAUGGAGAUAUGAUUUACACAGUUUGGGAAGAGGAAGCCUUUCUUUGUCAUUUGCAUGUUAUUUUGCUCAAACAUGUUUACAUCAGAGCUUCCCUGUUAUUUGAGGAAAUCAUUAUGUUGCACAACAAAUUGACUUUAUUAGAGAGCACUGAUUUUCUCUUUGGCUGAUUUUACUUUUUUGGAAAGCAAGUACUACUUACUCAAUGUGAACAGGAUUCUAUCUGUGAAGGGUAUUUAAGCAGUGUCCUACAAAUGGAACUUCUAUGAUUUUUGACUUCUCAUAUUGGAGAAGUCCUUUUAGAAAAGCAAUCAGAAAUGUGUUGCAGAAGAUUCACCCAAAGACUAUGAUCUUUCUUGCCAGUGCGACUGCAAUAGGGAAUGAUCACAAGGCAUUUCUUUCCAGCAGCAGAUGCAAGCAAACUGCUGUAUAAUACAUGAGCUGGAAACUCAGGUUGUCUCAGAUUUUAAGGUUAUUUUUAUAUCAUUACUUUUAUGUAUUGUUUAUUUUUAUAAUUUACAGUUUCUACUGUGAAGGCAAGUGAAAUAAAUAGGUAGAUUAUUGACUUUUAAUCAUCCAGAAAUAAAAAAAGAAAUACCUGAGCUAUUUGCUUCUCAAACCCUCCAAAUGAAGAAAAUUAUACAUCCUAGUAAAUAAUAAAGGCAUAAUAUUUUAAAGAAUGGGCUAAGGAAUGUUUUAGUAAAUUUUGUCUUGAUUAAAAUCAUUUAAGAGUACAAGUUAUAGUAUUUUGUAUGUUCUAACAUUUAGGCAUGAUGUGAUUCUUCUUAGUAAAUCCAUGUAUCUGUUUACUGGGACUCUUUAAAGGAGAAGAAACACACACACACAUCCUGACAUACAUGCUCUCACACUCAUACACACUCAUAUACACAGUCACCCAUACUUACACACUUACACACACACACCCUCACACACACACUCAUAUACAUGCUCACCCAUACUUACACAGUCACACACAUAUCACACACAUACUCUCACAGUCACACAUACACACUCACUCAUACACACACUCACCCAUGCACACACUCACUCAUACUUAGUCACUCACACACAAACAAUUAUACUAUCUGAUAUUAGUUAAUUGGGCAGACUAGGAUUAGUUAUAUUUCAUCAAACUUUCCAAAAAAACCUUUCAGAGGGAAAAAAUUCAUCUCUGGAUGCCACUGGGCCUUGGAAAUCAUAGCUACACCUUCUGUUUCAUUGUGGGCUGGCAGAAAAUAACAUACAGCUCCUUGUAGGAGCUCAGCUAUUUUUCACUGUGAAUUAGAACACACUUAUCCAUUGUGUGAAUUCUUUUUUUUUUUUUUUGACAGGCAGAGUGGACAGUGAGAGAGAGAGAGACAGAGAGAAAGGUCUUCCUUUGCUGUUGGUUCACCCUCCAAUGGCCACCAUGGCUGGCGUGCUGCGGCUGGUGCACCACGCUGAUCUGAUGGCAGGAGCCAGGUAUUUCUCCUGGUCUCCCACGGGGUGCAGGCCCCGCAAGGUGGAGGAUUAGCCUAGUGAGCCGCGGCACCGGCCCCAUUGUGUGAAUUCUAAACUUCUUACAUUUUAGACUGAGCUCCAUUUUAAGAACAAACUUUCCCUAUUUUUUUAAAAUGUUUUCUAAUUCUUCAUUGUAUUAAAUGUAUUAUUUCCAAAUACUAAGGCCCUAGGCUACAGUCCUCUCUUAAAAGUUAGAGUUUACAAUUAAUUAUUGAAUCCUACAAUAUGCGGGCAUUUAUCUAAAUUAUUUACUUAAUUUAACCAUCUUCACAUGAAUUCUGGGUUAAAGGUCAGGAAAUGAAGGAAGUAGGGUUGAAUAAGCAGGUGAGCGGCAGAGGUUGUGCUCUUAACAUCAGAUGAAUGUGGCUUCUUGGGUAACCAAGAGUCUGCUUGUGUGUCUUAGUUAUCAUAGCAAUACUUAAGUUAUCAUAAAAAUACUUAGUAUCAUAAUUAAAUAGAGGUAUUUUCUAAUUCUUCUAUUUUUAAUUUCAAAGAUUUAUUUAUUUAUUUGAAAGGCAGAGCUAUAUAGAGAGGGAGAGAAACUAGAAAAAUGAUCUUCCAUCCACAGGUUUAAUCCUUGAAUGGCCACAAUGGCCAGGGCUGAGCCAGGCUGAAUUAAGAAGCCCGAUCUCCAUCUGGGUCUCCCACAUGGCGGCAUGGACCCAAGUUCUUGGCUCUACUGCUUUCCAACAAGUUCCCUGCUAAUUCUAUUGGGAAAGUAGCAGAAGAAUGCAGAUGGAGUUCCUGGCUCUUGGCUUUGGUUGACCCAGCCCAAGACCUUUGUGGUCAUUUGGGGAGUGAACCAGUGGGUGGAGGAUCUCUCUCUCUGUCUCUCCUUCUCACUUUAUCACUUGCUCUGCCUUUCAAAUAAAUAAAUAAUGCUUAAAAAUGGAGAAUCAUUCUGUUCAUACUUAGACCUCAAGCCUGUGUGUUAAGAACUUACUAAAUUUCAUAUCUAAAAUUGUUUUCUAGAGAGGAUUUUGUCCAUCUUAUUAUAAUAUCAUAUGAUGAGUGGUUAUAUACAGUUCAUGUUUUGUAAGGAGAAAAAUUGACACAUCUCCAAUUAGGUCAUCAGUUGUUUGAAGGCAGAUUGGAAAACCAAGGAAUGUGUUGCGCAUGAUGGAGAUCCCAAGAAGGAAAUUACAAGUCUGAAGUCAACAGCAAACCCAGGAAGGAAAGGACAGCAUUUACCAAGAGCAAAUCCAAGGACUAGAAGCAGAAUUUGCCCAUCACAACUAUGUGACUAGACUGAGGAGAUACAAGAUAGCAGAGAAUCUGGAUCUCACCAAAAGACAGGUGAAAGUGUGGUUCCAGAACAGGUGGAUGAAGAGGAAGAGGGUAAAAUUGGGCCAGCUGGGCACUGCUGCCUGAGAAAAGGAACUGGUGAACGUGAAGAAAGGAACCCUGCUCCCUUCAGAGCUGUCAGGGAUUGGUGCGGCCACGCUCCAGCAAACAGGGGACUCUCUGGACAAUGAAGACAGCCACAACAGCUACCACAGCUCCGAGCAUGCACACUUAUGAUCCACACAGACAGGACCAGAUCCAUCCUCAGGAAAGAAGCACCGUGAUGGCAAGCCUUACCCAACAGAGUUUACACAGAGAGAUGGCCAUGGCCAUGAUUUUUAAUAUUAUCAAAUUCAGGCAUCAUGGGUCUGUUUUGCAUGAUUUAUAGAGGAAGGAAGUGCCACUUAUCAAAGAUGUUUCCAUGAUGAAAAUCAGAAGGUGAAUUUGCUUUGAAUAGUCCAGAGAUGUUUGGUUGUGUGUAUGACAGUGAGCAGGUAUGUUUGCCUUUGCUUGCACUGAAAAAUUAAACAGGUACUAAGAACAAAUUAUGACACAUUUCUACACGAGAUGCCUCCAGAGUGAAAACGUUGAAGAUGAACUUACUUUACCCUCUCAGAUGUACGAGUUCAUGUUUAUGACAGUGGGCAGGUAUUUGCUUUUGCUUGUACUGAGAAAUUGCUAUCAAGAAUAAAACAUAAAACCUUUUAUCCUGAACAGCCAAAGUGCCUGAGAUCAUUCAAGUAGAUUUUAAAAAGGAUGUAGUUUAACUCUGUAUAUAUUAUUCUUAAGUCAUUUUCCUGUCUUCACUAAUUUUAGCAAUUCAUUCAUAUUAGCUGAUGAAAAUAGGCACUGAUAAUGCCAGCCAGGCCAGCUUCCUGCCUUUUUAUGCAUGUGUCAUUCUGAGACAAUCCGUAUGCACUUACUUGUGUACAAGUAGAGAAAAAUACAGUAGUCUAAUACGACAUAUUCUUGUACCACAGACAAAACAAAUGUUAUGUUGCAUUUACUAUCACUGCUGCUAAUACGUUAUUAUACAACUUACCUAGCUCCUCCUUGAUUUAUCCUAUCUUGUAGCUUGAAAAAAAAAUAGGAUCAUAGGAAAAUCAGUUACCUUGUGGAAGGAGCUUUGUUGUGGCAGACACUGUGAUUUUAUUUCUAUAAAAUUAAAGCUGUUAUGAAUAUGACUUAAUUA
Oryctolagus cuniculus (rabbit) is the source of this 6814-nucleotide non-coding RNA. Lineage: Eukaryota; Metazoa; Chordata; Mammalia; Lagomorpha; Leporidae. The record is from RefSeq and is a predicted model, not a curated record.